GAUGAACGCUGGCGGCGUGCCUAAUACAUGCAAGUCGAGCGAACGGACGAGAAGCUUGCUUCUCUGAUGUUAGCGGCGGACGGGUGAGUAACACGUGGAUAACCUACCUAUAAGACUGGGAUAACUUCGGGAAACCGGAGCUAAUACCGGAUAAUAUUUUGAACCGCAUGGUUCAAAAGUGAAAGACGGUCUUGCUGUCUCUUAUAGAUGGAUCCGCGCUGCAUUAGCUAGUUGGUAAGGUAACGGCUUACCAAGGCAACGAUGCAUAGCCGACCUGAGAGGGUGAUCGGCCACACUGGAACUGAGACACGGUCCAGACUCCUACGGGAGGCAGCAGUAGGGAAUCUUCCGCAAUGGGCGAAAGCCUGACGGAGCAACGCCGCGUGAGUGAUGAAGGUCUUAGGAUCGUAAAACUCUGUUAUUAGGGAAGAACAUAUGUGUAAGUAACUGUGCACAUCUUGACGGUACCUAAUCAGAAAGCCACGGCUAACUACGUG
RNAcentral lists this ribosomal RNA (497 nucleotides) under uncultured bacterium. RNAcentral's name for it is "partial 16S ribosomal RNA". It matches the Rfam family "Bacterial small subunit ribosomal RNA", at positions 28 to 507 of the family's 1533-position model. The record is from RNAcentral.